RNAcentral lists this ribosomal RNA (720 nucleotides) under Pseudomonas sp. RNAcentral describes it as "bacterial SSU rRNA". It matches the Rfam family "Bacterial small subunit ribosomal RNA", at positions 56 to 773 of the family's 1533-position model. Lineage: Bacteria; Pseudomonadati; Pseudomonadota; Gammaproteobacteria; Pseudomonadales; Pseudomonadaceae. The record is from RNAcentral.
UGCAGUCGAGCGGUAGAGAGAAGCUUGCUUCUCUUGAGAGCGGCGGACGGGUGAGUAAUGCCUAGGAAUCUGCCUGGUAGUGGGGGAUAACGUCCGGAAACGGACGCUAAUACCGCAUACGUCCUACGGGAGAAAGCAGGGGACCUUCGGGCCUUGCGCUAUCAGAUGAGCCUAGGUCGGAUUAGCUAGUUGGUGAGGUAAUGGCUCACCAAGGCGACGAUCCGUAACUGGUCUGAGAGGAUGAUCAGUCACACUGGAACUGAGACACGGUCCAGACUCCUACGGGAGGCAGCAGUGGGGAAUAUUGCACAAUGGGCGAAAGCCUGAUCCAGCCAUGCCGCGUGUGUGAAGAAGGUCUUCGGAUUGUAAAGCACUUUAAGUUGGGAGGAAGGGCAUUAACCUAAUACGUUAGUGUUUUGACGUUACCGACAGAAUAAGCACCGGCUAACUCUGUGCCAGCAGCCGCGGUAAUACAGAGGGUGCAAGCGUUAAUCGGAAUUACUGGGCGUAAAGCGCGCGUAGGUGGUUUGUUAAGUUGGAUGUGAAAGCCCCGGGCUCAACCUGGGAACUGCAUUCAAAACUGACAAGCUAGAGUAUGGUACAGGGUGGUGGAAUUUCCUGUGUAGCGGUGAAAUGCGUAGAUNUAGGAAGGAACACCAGUGGCGAAGGCGACCACCUGGACUGAUACUGACACUGAGGUGCGAAGCGUGAGGAGCAACA